Hyaena hyaena (striped hyena) is the source of this 289-nucleotide long non-coding RNA. RefSeq lists it as uncharacterized. The transcript is spliced from 3 exons. Lineage: Eukaryota; Metazoa; Chordata; Mammalia; Carnivora; Hyaenidae. The record is from RefSeq and is a predicted model, not a curated record.
GGUGACUCUCCGAAGGGGUAUCAAGGCGUGGCGAGCGGACGGUCCUCCACGGGUGAAAACGACAGAGGUUUAUGCCGCGGAGGUUCUGCAUCUCAGCCACACUUUGCCUUCGCUUCUGAGGGGACACACUUGGUACCUUUUCCAGACAUGGGGAACCUCAACAGCUUGGCCACCACACAUGCCGUCUGUGCAGAGAGGAUCUCCACCGUGUCCACCAGAAGCACAGGUGCUCCCUUAAUAUGAUCACGAUUCCCAUCGCUUUUGGCAUCAAUGUUCAAGUGUCUGCUUC